Long non-coding RNA from Nymphaea colorata (pocket water lily), 927 nucleotides. RefSeq lists it as uncharacterized. The record is from RefSeq and is a predicted model, not a curated record. Lineage: Eukaryota; Viridiplantae; Streptophyta; Magnoliopsida; Nymphaeales; Nymphaeaceae. The transcript has 3 exons.
UCGCGUUUCUUUUUUCAUUGGAAAGGGAAAGAGGGUUGUGCGAAACUGCGACUCUUUGAGCUGAAACUCAUUCGCUCCUCUGCCUCCACCUCUGUGCCUCCUCCUUAGCUGUAGGGAUGAAACAUCCACCACAUCUGCAGAUUCUUGCAUUCUUUUGGGCAGAAGAGCGCUCAGAUUCUCGCUUAUUGCUUUGGGAACAGGAGCGGAAUCCAGAAGCAUAGAGCCGUGAGGUUUCCCAGAGCAAGAGUAAAUGAAUGAGGCAGAAUCGAGCUAGGAGGCAGUGUAGCUGAGUUCUUGCCAUGAUAUUCUUUGUCGUGCUUAGGUCUGGGAAGGUUAUUCGUUGAAGGCGUUGUGUUUUCUGCUGAGAUCUGGAAGCUGGAGAAACCCAAGUAUCAUACAAAGCUUGAAAGUGUAUGGUAGCAGGGGAAGAGCCAAGGGGAGGAGGAGAAGCAAGAAGAAGAAGGAAAAGAGAGUCGUCAUUGCUUCCUUCUUCUUUCCCAUAAUUCACAAGGAAUUCUCGAGGGAUUCCAGUAUUUUGUUGGUGGGAUGCAGGAGGAGGGAGAUAGAGAAGCAUUUAUAGUGCAUAACUUGGUCGAUUGUUGGCUCUUGGAAGAUCCACAAAGAGGCAAAGGCUGAUUUGGGGAGGGUCGUUUUGGGAUCUAUUUACGAUCUUAAACGUUAGGGUCGACCAUGGUCCCAGUUUGGAAGAGAGACUAAAAGAAACGAGAAGAGGAGGCAAAAAUGAAACAUCAUUAGCAUCUCUUUGGUUAUGAGAUAAUAGAAAAAUGUGGUUUCAUUUCAAGAUCAAUGAAAGCAGGGAGACAUCUCUUUCUAGAAAUUGUUUGGUGGCAUCUUAAUUGCGCAUGCGUGUAUAUUAGUGGAUGUUAAUGACAGUUGGGGCAGUAAAAGCUUUCAGUAGUACGUAUC